ACGAGGAAGCCGAGGCCCCCAUCUCCUCAUUUCCCUUCCAGGUGUCGGAGGCUGUGAUGAGCAUUUACAAGAACCUGGACUCCAUCAGCGAGCCGCUGUCCCGGAAGGAGCUGUUCAGGGCCCUUCUCGUGCUGGGCAACCAGUACAGCGAGGAGGUGGUCAGAACCCUGCUGGGCUGCUCGCUGUCAUGUGACAGCGUUGCUGCGGAGAUGUGGCGGAUGCUGGCAUCCCACUGCCAGACCAUAGAAAAGGUCCUAAAGGAGCUGCUCAACACGCUGCAGGAGCAGCCGCUGCACCACCAUCAUGUCUCUCAGAGAGAGGCCCCCUUGGCCGUAAGUAUCAGCCCCUGCAGCAAGGGAAGGAGCGCCGUGUGUCCCCAUCACUGCCUGAGGGUGUCUCUCAGUCUCCCACUGGGUAUAGUCAUUGGACCGAAGAGAGAGAGCGUGUCUCUAGCCAGUGCUAUAGUCGAGCCGGAACACGCCGAAACGCUCUCCUGGUGCUAUUCAGCAGCACUCCUAGAACCACAGGGUGAGAAGGGAUCGCAGGGUCAGCUUGUCCAGCCCCCUGCCACGAGGCAGGACUUGUUGUGUCUAACCCACCCCAGACAGAUGGCUCCAGCCUCCUUCUGAAAACCUCCAACGAAGGAGUUUCCACAAGCUCCCUAGGUGUCUGUCCCAUCGUCCUACUCUUCUUACCGUUAGGAAGCUUUUCCUGAGGUUUAAUCUACAUCUGCUGUGCUGUAGUUUGACCCCAUCACCUCUUGUCCUGCCCUCUGUGGAAAGAGAGAACAACUUUUCUCCAUCUUUUUUUAUGGCAGCCUUCCAAGUAUCUGAAGACCGUUAUCAAGUCCCCCCUUAAUCUCCUCUUUUCCAAACUAAACAUAGCCAGUUCCUUCAGCCUUUGCUCGUAUGGCUUGUGUUCCAUCCCUCUGAUCAUCUUUGUUACUCGCCUCUGGAUCCAUUACAGUUUCUCCACAUCCUUUCUAGACAUUGGUGACCAAAACUGGACACUGUCCUCCAGCUGAGGCCUAACCAGUGCUGAGUAGAGCGGUACUAUCGCCUCCCAAAACUUGCAUGCUAUACCUCUGUUAAUGCAACCUAAAAUUGCAUUUGCUUUUUUUGCAACAGCAUCGCAUUGCUGACUCAUGCUGAGCUUGUGAUCGACCACAGCUCCCAGAUCCUUCUCAGAAG
Molecule: long non-coding RNA, 1190 nt
Filed under: Chrysemys picta bellii (western painted turtle)
Lineage: Eukaryota; Metazoa; Chordata; Testudines; Emydidae
Description: lncRNA (ENSCPBG00000007832.1)
Source: RNAcentral